RNAcentral lists this ribosomal RNA (436 nucleotides) under uncultured bacterium. Its description in RNAcentral is "bacterial SSU rRNA". It matches the Rfam family "Bacterial small subunit ribosomal RNA", at positions 339 to 791 of the family's 1533-position model. The record is from RNAcentral.
UUACGGGAGGCAGCAGUAGGGAAUAUUGGGCAAUGGGCGAAAGCCUGACCCAGCAACGCCGCGUGCACGAUGAAGGUCUUCGGAUCGUAAAGUGCUUUUCUGAGAGAUGAGAAAGGACAGUAUCUCAGGAAUAAGUCUCGGCUAACUACGUGCCAGCAGCCGCGGUAACACGUAGGAGGCAAGCGUUAUCCGGAUUUACUGGGCGUAAAGCGCGUGCAGGUGGUUCGGUAAGUUGGAUGUGAAAGCUCCUGGCUCAACUGGGAGAGGUCGUUCAAUACUACCGGGCUUGAGAAUAGUAGAGGAAGAUGGAAUUCCCGGUGUAGUGGUGAAAUGCGUAGAUAUCGGGAGGAACACCAGUGGCGAAAGCGGUCUUCUGGACUAUUUCUGACACUCAGACGCGAAAGCUAGGGUAGCAAACGGGAUUAGAUACCCCGGU